RNAcentral lists this ribosomal RNA (465 nucleotides) under uncultured Klebsiella sp. RNAcentral's name for it is "bacterial SSU rRNA". It matches the Rfam family "Bacterial small subunit ribosomal RNA", at positions 338 to 795 of the family's 1533-position model. The record is from RNAcentral. Lineage: Bacteria; Pseudomonadati; Pseudomonadota; Gammaproteobacteria; Enterobacterales; Enterobacteriaceae.
CCUACGGGCGGCUGCAGUGGGGAAUAUUGCACAAUGGGCGCAAGCCUGAUGCAGCCAUGCCGCGUGUGUGAAGAAGGCCUUCGGGUUGUAAAGCACUUUCAGCGGGGAGGAAGGCGUUAAGGUUAAUAACCUUGUCGAUUGACGUUACCCGCAGAAGAAGCACCGGCUAACUCCGUGCCAGCAGCCGCGGUAAUACGGAGGGUGCAAGCGUUAAUCGGAAUUACUGGGCGUAAAGCGCACGCAGGCGGUCUGUCAAGUCGGAUGUGAAAUCCCCGGGCUCAACCUGGGAACUGCAUUCGAAACUGGCAGGCUAGAGUCUUGUAGAGGGGGUUAGAAUUCCAGGUGUAGCGGUGAAAUGCGUAGAGAUCUGGAGGAAUACCGGUGGCGAAGGCGGCCCCCUGGACAAAGACUGACGCUUAGGUGCGAAAGCGUGGGGAGCAAACAGGAUUAGAUACCCUAGUAGUC